AAAACGACUCUCGGCAACGGAUAUCUCGGCUCUCGCAUCGAUGAAGAACGUAGCGAAAUGCGAUACUUGGUGUGAAUUGCAGAAUCCCGUGAACCAUCGAGUCUUUGAACGCAAGUUGCGCCCCAAGCCUUCGGGCCGAGGGCACGUCUGCCUGGGUGUCACGC
This 164-nucleotide ribosomal RNA is filed under the name Gnidia pinifolia. RNAcentral's name for it is "5.8S ribosomal RNA". It matches the Rfam family "5.8S ribosomal RNA". From Rfam's summary of the family: 5.8S ribosomal RNA (5.8S rRNA) is a component of the large subunit of the eukaryotic ribosome. It is transcribed by RNA polymerase I as part of the 45S precursor that also contains 18S and 28S rRNA. Lineage: Eukaryota; Viridiplantae; Streptophyta; Magnoliopsida; Malvales; Thymelaeaceae. The record is from RNAcentral.